This 161-nucleotide non-coding RNA is filed under the name uncultured Enterocloster sp. Its description in RNAcentral is "Lysine riboswitch". It matches the Rfam family "Lysine riboswitch aptamer". Rfam says of the family: Riboswitches are metabolite binding domains within certain messenger RNAs that serve as precision sensors for their corresponding targets. The record is from RNAcentral. Lineage: Bacteria; Bacillati; Bacillota; Clostridia; Lachnospirales; Lachnospiraceae.
CAAUAGAGGCGCGGAUUUUAUAAGUAACUGCUGGGAGAUAACGGGUAUCAGUGAACAGCAGCGAAAGGAGAAUCCGCCGAAACCGGCAGUUCCCGAAAACUGCUGUAGUUGGGGUACAGUCGAACAGGCUGUGCACUCUCACCGAAAGGUGGAGGAGCUAU